Molecule: ribosomal RNA, 370 nt
Filed under: uncultured bacterium
Lineage: Bacteria
Description: bacterial SSU rRNA
Rfam family: Bacterial small subunit ribosomal RNA
Source: RNAcentral
ACUCCUACGGGAGGCAGCAGUCGAGAAUUUUUGACAAUGGGGGAAACCCUGAUCGAUCGACGCCGCGUGGAGGAUGAAGGUCUUCGGAUUGUAAACUUCUGUCAUUGGGGAACAAGGUGCAUACGUUAACUGCGUGUGCAUUGAUAGUACUCGAAGAGGAAGAGACGGCUAACUCUGUGCCAGCAGCCGCGGUAAUACAGAGGUCUCAAGCGUUGUUCGGAUUCAUUGGGCGUAAAGGGUGCGUAGGCGGCGCGGUAAGUCGGGUGUGAAAUCUCGGGGCUUAACUCCGAGACUGCAUUCGAUACUGCCGUGCUUGAGGACUGGAGAGGAGACUGGAAUUUACGGUGUAGCGGUGAAAUGCGUAGAGAUC